RNAcentral lists this ribosomal RNA (255 nucleotides) under uncultured bacterium. RNAcentral describes it as "partial 16S ribosomal RNA". The record is from RNAcentral.
CUGCUGCCUCCCGUAGGAGUCUGGGCCGUCUCUCAGUCCCAAUGUGGCCGUCCACCCUCUCAGGCCGGCUACUGAUCGUUGCUUUGGUGGGCCGUUACCCCGCCAACUGGCUAAUCAGACGCGGGCCCAUCCCAUACCACCGGAGUUUUUCACACUGCGCCAUGCGGCACUGUGCGCUUAUGCGGUAUUAGCAGCCGUUUCCGGCUGUUAUCCCCCUGUAUGGGGCAGGUUGCCCACGCGUUACUCACCCGUCCG